GGAGUUUGGGCCGUGUCUCAGUUCCCAAUGUGGCCGAUCACCCUCUCAGGUCGGCUACCGAUCGUCGACUUGGUGGGCCGUUACCUCACCAACUAUCUAAUCGGACGCGAGCCCACCCUUCACCGGAUUGCUCCUUUGACCCCUGUAAGAUGUCUCACUGUGGUCUCAUGCGGUAUUAGUACAACUUUCGCUGUGUUAUCCCCCUCGUGAAGGACAGGUUGCUCACGCGUUACUCACCCGUCCGCCGCUAAAACAUACAUCUCCGCUUCCAUCCGAAAACUUCCGCUUCGUCGUAUGUCUCCGCUCGACUUGCAUGUGUUAGGCACGCCGCCAGCGUCGUCCUCGAGCCACUGAUCAAACUACU
RNAcentral lists this ribosomal RNA (364 nucleotides) under uncultured Coriobacteriales bacterium. Its description in RNAcentral is "partial 16S ribosomal RNA". The record is from RNAcentral. Lineage: Bacteria; Bacillati; Actinomycetota; Coriobacteriia; Coriobacteriales.